UCGUGCGCUGGCCCAGGACGGUGGUGGCCGUGAUGUGGCCACCGGUCUCGCCGAAGACCCCGUUGUUCAACAUGAUGCAGGUGAC
Molecule: transfer RNA, 85 nt
Filed under: uncultured Acidimicrobiales bacterium
Lineage: Bacteria; Bacillati; Actinomycetota; Acidimicrobiia; Acidimicrobiales
Also listed under: 1 other name
Description: tRNA-Ile
Source: RNAcentral